AGAUCCUCUACGAGCUCUUCCUGCAGGGAGUUCUCACUCACCAGAACUAGACAGUUGUACAGAUGGUUUUGAACACCAUAGUGACUUAAAUUCUCCUCCAGACAGGUAACAAAGAUCACCUGUGAAUGAACCUUAUGAUUAUAUUUUUUAAAAAAAAUUGUAUAAAGAAAGUGAGUUGAUGUGGUAGAGCAAUCUUGAGGUUUUUCAUCAAAACAGCAUCUUGUCAUUGCAUCCUUACCGGGGGCUUGCAACGGACUGCAGUUAAUUUUAAUUAUUUAGUUAAUUAAAUUUAUUUUAUUUUAAUGCUUGGUUAUUUAGCUUGCCAGAUGACUGGUUAGCUUCAAUUUUCCGUUCUUUGUUUCUGCAAUAUUCAGGAUCAUGAGAACAUACUGAAUCCUGGGUUUUGUGCUAACAAUGUUUUCAAUCAUUGGGGAACAAAAUCUGACAACAGAGACAGUCUUUUUUUAACCCCACCAAGUUUACACCUGCAUUUUUUGUGUGUAAAAGCAUAAGCAGCUGUCGUACAUAUGAAUGAAUGGUUAUAAACCUGUUAUAAUGGAAGUCUGAAGACCCCAGAUUCAGUAUUGAAGCUGAACUCCCGUGGUGAACUCUAGUAUGCUUUUGUUCAUGUACAUAUGAGGAUUGCUUUUUAAUUAAGCCUUUGGAUAUAUUUCCUUUGUUUUAUCUUUUUUUUUCUUUUUUCUUUUUUCUUUUUCAUGUAAGUCCUGUUGCUAAUAUCUCAGUUGUCCUCUUGGAUAUUCUCAUUACAGCCCAAGAGUUAAGUCUCAGCACUCUGAUAAGCAGUAUGUGGUGGAUAUUCAGCCUUUGUACAUUGGCUUGUUUUUCCUUUAGGCAUCAAGAGCUUUCUGGAAAUUCUCCAUUACCUGUUGCUCCUUUGCCAGAGAACAACAGUUUACUUCAUGAUCACCCUGGCUUUCAAAAGGUGGUGAGUUUGUGUUAAAAAUUCAGGAGCAUUUUUAUGAAGCUGAAUGCAUUUUACAUUUCUGCAAAAAACAGUGCUUACUUCAGGUCACAAAAUGUGCUAUAAGGACAGUAUUAAGGACACUUCAGUAUCCUCUAAUAACAGGAUCUACCAAGCCAAACUAUAUUCUUCCUGCAAGAAUAUCUUAAAGGUAUAUACAUCUUAAGAAAUCUAAAAAUGCUGAAGUCUACAAAGCUCUCUCCUGCACUGUGUUCCAAGUGGUGGGAUAAGUUGACCUCACUGGACUACAACCAUGCAAGAAACAGCUUCUUCACAUACAGCUAAUAGGGAAACCUUUUAGUUCUUCCCAAUUCAGAAAUGCCCAGCAGAAGUUUGAAAUAUGCUAAAACCAAACCUAAAACUCAAUCGAUCACCAAUGGCCAAGUUUGGGAAACAACGGUUUGAGGGUCUCUGCCCUAAACCUUCACAUGCCUGUGUAGGUCCCUCCUUCAUGAUUUACUUUCACAGCAGUAGAUGACAAAAACCCACACUUCACUUCCCUCCACAAGACUCUGGUGCACUGGACCAUUAUCGUCUGAGAUACUCCACAAAGCAAGGAAACUGUCUCUUCAGAAACCUGUGCAUCAAACCUACUCCCCAAACACAUCAUGAAGCUUCUGAAUCUGAGUCUGUGGACUGGUAGGACUGAAGAAACCCAGCCUUUAAGGUGAGGUGCCAGCUGCAGUCCUGCUCACCCUGUCUGACUGGGGACUGGCCGGCCCUUGGAACUACAGAAGAGGGGCAGUCUCGAUCAAUUACCCUUGUUGGCAGCAAUCUGAGCAGGAAAAUGGAGAGAAUCUGUUCCCCACCUAUGGGGUGGGGGCCUGCCCUCCCAUUUUUCCAGACUGUGCCCUGAGAAGAGCACAUGCUUGUAUCAACUUUUCCAUCUCCUCUACUCCCUUUUCAAGGCUGAAGGCUCCAUCUUAUCCUCUGGGCUUGCUCAUGAACCUACUCCUCAGUAACAAGGCAGUAGACAUUGCGAGACCAGAUAUGGCAGACCAGCACACACAACCAACUUCAUCCCAUUUUUUACAUGCCAGAGAGGAUGGUAUUGCAGUGUGUCUCACAUGAUAAUUUGUUGAAUCUUCAGAAGAAAAUGAUCUCAUCACUAGUACACCUUAACAUAUCGACCUCAGCUUGCCUUGGCAGGGUGUCAGGCAAGUUGCUCACUUGGGAAUUUUUCAAGGUCCUUGUUGGAAUGCUUUGUUCCCCAUUUACUUUAAAGUUGAUUAAACCAGGUUUGAAGAACUUGCAGAUGUGCAUUCCUUUACAGUACCAACAGGCACUGCAGUUAGUAAAUAUUUAUCAAAUAGAGAUGAAGAAAUUAAAAGAAUACUAUGUUUUUUACAUUAUGUGAUAAAUAGCUGGCAAUUUAACCCUAAAUCAGGUUAUGUCUCUGUUCUAACUUUGCCAUGAAAAAUUUGUCUACUUUUCUGAACUAUACUAGUUGUUGUAAAGUAGCUUUAUUCUCAAAUAUUCUGUGUUAUUUUAUAGUUUGUUGGUCUUUUAAUUGUGUAAGUCAUAAUGCAUGCAAAAUUGUUUAAAAUUUCCUCUUCACAAUGUUAAAAACACAAGUUUCUAUUUCUUUAAAUGUACCAUGUUUUCGCAUAGCAGUACACAGUAAAGAGUCCAAUAGGUUAACAAUUUCCUUAUUAGCUGUACCUUCAGAAUUAUCCUUUUCUCCCUGUCAGAAUCAAACUGCACAAUUCAAGACUGCACAGAGUUCUCCUGAAUUGGCCAUAUCCAAGUGCACCAAGCGGGAUGAAAGAAAGAGAAAAUGGCAAACUUGUGACAAUGACACUAGUACUGAAGAUAAUAAAAGGAGGCAAAGACAG
Molecule: RNA transcript, 2817 nt
Organism: Cinclus cinclus
Lineage: Eukaryota; Metazoa; Chordata; Aves; Passeriformes; Cinclidae
Gene: RBM11
Gene name: RNA binding motif protein 11
Exons: 2
Source: RefSeq, a predicted model, not a curated record